This 26664-nucleotide long non-coding RNA is filed under the name Zea mays. RNAcentral's name for it is "long non-coding RNA (ZMAY_LNC002145)". Lineage: Eukaryota; Viridiplantae; Streptophyta; Magnoliopsida; Poales; Poaceae. The record is from RNAcentral.
GCAACAAUAACAACUACCAUUCAGCCAACUAGUUGUUGUGAGCCUGUUGCCUUCUUACAUAGCAGCAGUUGUUGCCGUUCUACCCGCACGAUGUGGCUAACACAACCACCCUCUUACAACUGCAACAAUUGCCGCCAUUCAACCAACUUGCGUUGACAAACCCAACAGCGUUCUACCUACAACCCAUCAUUGAUGGUGCCCUCUGUUAGAUUGCUUAUGAGUUAUAGUUCAAUAAUGAAGUUUUUUGGUUGAUGUUUGUGGCUUCCCAGAAAUAAUAAAGUACAUUUCUAGAUUCUCAUGUGCUACUUGUCUCCAAAUGUGGUUGAUAAUUAUUUUGCUCUAAGAUCGAGAGUAAUGAUGUAUAAAUCAUCGUUGUCGUGUGAUACUCGGUCAAUUGAGCAUUAGCACACACAAACAUGACGAGAAUGGUAUAAUCUCCAAAAAUAUGUACUUUGUAGGUGGGACCCUAUAGCCAUGCAAAAUAUGCUAUGUUAGGCAUGCCGAUGGAAACAUGUGAUGCAUAUGUUUCGUGAACCUGUUGAUAUUAUAUGUGAUUUAUAUUACGAUAUUUUACUAAAAUACUAAUAUUUAUUACUAGUAAGUUAUAACAUUCUAUCAAUCUUAAAAACCUAACCAUAAAUAUUCCAUCGUAACUAGGUUUACCAAACUAUACAAAUACACAAUAAAUACAAAAUUAACAAUACAAUAACCAAUAUUUAUGAGCUUAAUAAAUUUAAUUUUAGGGUUGGUCGAUGAUAAUCAUAUUGACUUCCCCUGACUCCUUGAUUGUAAAUAUGCCUAGACCAUGCCUCUUUCUACUAUACGGCAAACAGGGACCACUCUAGGAGACUAGGACGUUGCUUGAGACGAAGACGCCAUCAUUGAUGUAGACUAUCGACCAUCUGACUGCAGUCGAUAAAAAUUAACUAUUUCUGUGAGGCGUUUGACCAAAAAUGACAAAACUUUACUAGGUUCUGUUGGUUGAGUGAGGGCCGACAAAAGUUGAUAAAUUUUCGUGGGAUUAUUUCAAGCCGACAUAAAUUAUUUUGGCUAAUGGAAGUUUCUUUUUUCCUUAGUUGUGUGGUGCUAUACAUAUGCAUGUCUGAUUCACGUGAUAAACUAGGCUAGAAAAACAAUUAUUUGACAUGGAUUGUUGUGGAGGACCAUACCAACUGUGACUGCCAUCUCAAUCCAGCUGACAUCUAAGUGACCUUUGAAUAAAUUAUUAAGCUGACAAAACUUUGACACCAAGAAGAAAGUUUAAGUAUGUAAAUAUUUAUGUUCAUCAAGCUGCUAUUCCCUAUCAUUGGCAUGAACAUUGUCAUCAUUUAGUUCCUAAGAAUAUAAUAAAAACAAGAAGAGCCACCUCACGAGAAUCCUUUAACAUAGACUAAAUAGUAGUUUUUGUGGAACACAACAGAACUGUACACCAUUUUCAGCGGCCAAGGUUAUUUUCGGCGGCCAGGACUUAGCCGCCGAAAAUAAACCUAUUUUCGGCGGCUUCUGACACAGCCGCUGAAUAUACAUUUAUUUUUGGCGGCUACUAACACAACCGCCGAAAUAAGGUUUUUAAAACCGUCGGGCUCCUUCUCUAUUCUCUCUGUUUCUUCUCUUCUUCUCCUCGCUCGGUCGCCGCCGUACGCCGCCACGCCGCCCGCCCGUCGCCGCCGUGCCCGCCACAGCUACAUCCACGCCCCCGCCGAGGCGCCGCGCCACCCCGUGCAGCCAUGCCCCCGGCGGCUCCGUCUCGUCGUCUGCCGUCACCCUCGGCUCCCAUCGACCAAGAAAACUUGAAUACUCCUUAGCCAAAAAAUGGAUGAAUUUCACCUUCCUUAUCUUAAGCUCCUUGAUUUUUCUACUAAGUGUCGCUAUUCUAACCAUUAUCCCUUGGGUAAACCAUAUUUGAUUAUCCAGCCAAAGGACCCAGAAGAUAAAAACAAUUUUUAAUUGCUAUUUCGAGACAAAUGAAUUAGCGUGAUUCGAAAAGGAUUACGACCUUCCCCCUUGACCUUUGUCAUACUUCUUUAGUCUAAUCGAUAGAAUCAAGAAUAGAAAUCACUGAAGAAGUUGAUAAGCGAAGCUUCGACGAUAAUAGGAACAUGGUGACAAUAGGACGAACGAUGAUGCCUUUGUCUAAGAAUGUUAUCUAGAAGAAAUCUCAAUCAAUUGUCGGUACAACGAAAAGAUAGAAACAUGCACCCUUGAGUAUGAAACAUUUAUAUGUAAGAGGAAGGAGGAAUGUAAUUGCUCAUGCCUAAUCAUAUUAUUGAGAGUUUUAAGGCGAGACUUAUGGCAAAGGGUUAUACACAAAAAUAGGGGAAAGGUCAUUUCAAUACUUAAUCAAUUUUUGCCCUUCUAAUGACCAUACAUGUGUUACUUUUUUUGGCUGCCUCACAUGGUCUUAUCGUUCACCAGAUGAAUGUUACGUCUGUUUUCCUAAAUGGAGAGCUUAAUGAACAGAUCUACAAUGACUAGCCUGGUGGAUUUACACCAAUUGGUAAAGAGGAAAAGGUGUUUAAAUUAAAACAAAUUUAUGGUUUAAAACAAGAACCAAAGCACAUGAGAAAUUUGAUAAAGUUUUGACUUUGGCUAAAUUUGUUGCAAAUGAAGCUGAUAAAUGUGUCCAUUACCGGUUUGACAGGGGUGAAGGUAUAACAUUUUUUAUGUGGAUGAUAUAUUAAUCUUUUGUAAUGGUGUUAAUAUGAUCGAGGAAGUAAAGUAAUUUUUGUCUAGUAACUUUGAAAUAAACAAUCUGGGAGAGAUUAAUGUUGUUCUUAACAUAAAGAUGUUCAGAGGAGGAGGAAAUAUGGGGUUAUUCUUGUGCAAUCCUAUUAGGUUGAAAGGUCGAUGAGUUGCUUUGGAUAUAGUGACUACACGUCUGGUCCAACUACUUAUGACCCAAGUGUGCUAUUAAGGAAAAUCAUAUAAUCGCAUAUGAUCAAUUGAGAUAUUGUCAAAGCAUGGUCUUCUCAUGGAUUUGGCUAGUUCAACGAGGCCUGAUAUCUCGUUUGCUAUGAGCAAACUCAGUUGCUUUGUCUCCAAUCUUAGGGAUGAUCAUGACAUGCCCUAGAGAGGGUAUUGCGCUAUCUAAAAGGGACUAUGAGUAAUGUCAUUUACUAUACCACACACCUAAGGGUACCAGAGUGUUAUAGUGAUGCAAACAAAAUAUGUGAUGGUGAUUAGAUUUAAGCCACAAGUAGAUAUGUGUGCUUACUUGAAGGUGUGGUUGUUUCAUCGAAGUCUUGUAAGCAGACCAUCUUAACAAGGUCAACAAUAAAAGUAGAACUCACAACAUUAGAUAUUGCCAAAGUUGAUGCCGAGUGGCUUCGUGAACUCCUUAUGGAUUUACUAGUAGUUGAAAAUCGAAUACUGGUUAUCUAUAUGAGCUAUAAUGAUUAAACAUUGGUAAUCAAAGUGAACAAUUCUUAGGUUAACAUGAAUACUACAAAGCAUGUCAAAAAACGGUUGAAACUGUUAAAACACCAAGAAAUUCUAGAUUAAUUGUGUUGGACUAUGUCCAUACUUCUAAGAAUUUGGUAUGCGAGUUUAUAGAAGAUUUGUCACAUAAUGUGAUAGAUGGUGCAUCGAGGAAGAUGGGCUUGAGACCCACUUAAUGCCAUUCCAUAGUAGUAGCAUUUUCUAUGUGAUUGGAGAUCUCAUAGAGUAGAAUGGUGAAACAAGCUAGAGAAUGACUGAUGGAGAGACUCCUUAAAUAAAAUCUAGGUAAUUUCAUAUGCACAUUUCUCCUUUGAUGUACGAUAGGCUAACUAAAAUAUUAAUAUGAUUUGAGUGACUUAUCUAAGUAGGGAUGUUAUCUUACAGAACAUCCUAGAAGGAACACACCUAUAUGAGUUUCACUGCUAGUCACGAUCUAUGAUAUGUGGGCAAUAUUUAUAUACUCAUGAAAGGCCUCGAAGUUUGACUUAUAUGAUUCAAGCCAAGGGGAUUCUUGUAAUAGUCUAGUACGAGAUAAGAACUUUGGAGAAACUCACUUCAUGCAAAAUUGUCAAUUCAAGGUAUAGUCCAUUGUUCAGAUAUGAAUAUGUAAUCCCUGUUCUAGAUGGAUGGUCAACUUAACAGCCUCCACCAAAACCCUUAUAUAUCAAAGAGUAGUGGAUUUGAAUUUGUCUAAUUUGAAUUUGUCUAAUAUGUAGUUUAUGGGCUUGGCUCAUUUAAAGUAUUUAAUAAUUCUGAAAGACAAGAUUAAACUAACUAUGUAUGAUCCUUUAGCAUCGUGCAGAUGGUCAAUGGGACAGUUACAUGGUUUAUAUAGAUGGACCUAUCUAUAUUCCUUCAGUAGUUGAGAAAAAGGUAAAGGUGUGUCACACUCACACAUGCGCUGCCUCCACCGAGACAAGGCAUGGCGUUGCAAGGUGAGGCAUGGCAUGGUGCAACACGAUCGCAGUCAUGGUCGUGGCGCGGUGUAGCAUUGUUGUGGAUAGAUCGAUAAACUAUUGUUGUAGUUAGAGUACAUGAGUUUUUGAAUGCAACACUAGAAUUUUCUCAAUUUAACUUAAUUAAGAAAUUAUAUCUUGAUGACAUAGAGUUACCUGACCAUUGAUCUCACAUGCCCUUUUAGCUCUCUCGUUCUCUAGUCUCGCCUGACUAUUUAGGUCUCCUGACUCGCCAAUAGAAAGACCAUCCUAUCAUUUGCUCUCGAAUACUUCUGUGUCAUAACUUGAAAGUCGCCUAGAGCGGGAGGUGAAUAGGCGAAACCUAAAAUUUAUAAACUUAAACACACACAAAGGUCGGGGGUUAGAGUUAGAAUUAAAUUCUAGUCCAGAAGAAUAUCUCUGUUGCUAGGAGUUGCUCAAGGAUUGCAGAUGAUGUAUGUGAGCCAACUCAAAUUCACACUAGCAAGGAAAUGUUAGAGAGAGGAAAACAAAUCAAACAAGAAUCAAGGCGAGUGAACACGAUGAUUUGUUUUACCGAGGUUCGGUUCCAAAGAACCUAGUCCCCGUUGAUGAGGUCACAAAGACCGGGUCUAUUUCAACCAUUUCCCUCUCUCAAACGGUCACUUAGACCGAGUGAGCGUUUUCCUUAAUCUCUCGGGUCACUUAGACCCCGUAAGGACCACCACACACUUAGUUGUCUCUUGCUUCAAUUACAAGUCACUUGAGAAAUAGACGGGAAAAGAAAAAGGCCAAACCAAGCAACAAGAGCAACAAAGAACACAAGAUAUCCUCUCACAAGCCCUAAUGCACUAGAGUUGAUUUUGGGGCUUUGAGUGGAUUGAUUGCUUUGAUUGUGUCUUGGAGUGUUGGACUUUGCUCUUGCAAUGAAUGAGAGUUCAGAAAUGCUUGGAUGGUUAUGAAUGAGGUGGUUGGGGGUAUUUAUAGCCCCCAACCACUUCCAUAGCCGUUGGUGAAGGCUGCUAGCGAUGGGCGCACCGGACAGUCCGGUGCAUCACCGGAGAGCCACUGUGUACUGUCCGGUGCGCGCCACAUCAGCGCAACCGUUAGGGUUCGGAGCUGGUCAACCGUUGGAGUCUUUGUCGUCUUGUUGCACCGGACAGUCCGGUGCCCUCUGACUUCUGACAUCCACUGUUCAUCGCGACAGAGUCGACCGCUGGCGCAUAGAGCCGUUGCUCCGCUGGUACACCGGACAGUCCGAUGAAUUAUAGCGAAGCGCGCCCUAGAAUUCCUGAGAGUGGCUGGUUCAUCUGCUGUACGACCUGGUGCACCGGACCCUGUCCGGUGCGCCAUUUUUUAGCACACUCAAGUCCUUUUGCUCCAAUUAAAUUGUGUCCCUAACUUAAUUUCUUUCUUGGUUUGUGUUGAACCUUAUGCACCUAUAAUACAUGAAUUCUUGACAAACUAGUCAGUCCAUGUGUUUGUGUUGGUCGUCAACCACCAAAAUUAAUUAUAGGAAAUGGUUAACCCUAUUUCCCUUUAAAUCUCCCCCUUUUUGGUGGUUGAUGCCAACACAAACCAAAGCAAAUAAUAAAUGUAGAAAUAUAACUAGUUUGGAAUUGAGAUGAAUGUGCAUAGGUUACUUGGAAUUAAACCAAUAAAAUAUUUUCAACAUAUGAAUAAGAGUGAAUGGAUUGGCUUUCUUUUAUUUAAUAUUUUGGACCACAUUUGCACCACAUGUUUUAUUUUUGCAAAUCUUUUGGAAAUCUAUUCAAAAACUUCUGCAAAUAGUCAAAGGUAUAGGAAUAUGAUUGCAAGAAGCAUUUUUUAGGAUUUUGAAAUUCCUCCCCCUGUUUCAAAUGCUUUUCCUUUGACUACAUAAAAGCUCCCCCUAAAUGAAAUUCUCCCCUUAGCUUUCAAGAGGGUUUUGAAGUAGAUACCAAUUGAAAAAAUUUCUCUCACAUAUGAGUUGAAAGUUAGAUACCAAUUGAAAAUAUAUUAAUUGAAAUUCUUCCAUACUUAAUGUGAAGUUUUGAAGAUACCAAUUGAGAAAUUUUCUUCACAUACCAAUUGAAAAUUCAUUUUGAUCAAAUACCAAUUGAAAUAUACACCAGUUGAAGUUUACCAAUUAAAGAAAAUUUCAUUUUGAAUUUUUUUGAAAUGGUGGUGCGGUCCUUUUGCUUUGGGCUUAAUAUUUUCUCCCCCUUUGGCAUUAAGCGCAAAAAAUGGAGAAUUCGAGAGCCCUUUUUCUCCCUUUAUGGGGUCUAAUACUUUCUCACAAAUGGUAAAAUGAAUAUGAGUGAAUGAUUAUACCAAUUGAGAGUGUGGAGGAACAACGACAAAGGGUAUACCGUCAGAGUUGGAGUGGAAGCCUUGUCUUUGCGGAAAACUCCAUUUCUUUUUCAAUCUACGACUUAGUAUAGAAAUACACUUGAAAACACAUUAGUCAUAGUCUUGGCACAAGAAGAGUAAGAAAUAUGUAUUUGCACCAAAUGAAAGAGAUAUGAUCAAAUGUAUAUAAAUUAGCUAUGUGUGCAAAGUUUCAAUCAAAGUUCCGUGAAUCAAGUAUAUUUAGCUCAUUCCUAAGUUUGCUAAAUGUUUUCUCAUCUAGUGGCUUGGUAAAGAUAUCGGCUAAUUGGUUGUGGGUGCUCACAUAAGCAAUUUCGAUAUCCCAUUUUGUUGGUGAUCUCUCAAAAAGUGAUACCGGAUGUCUAUGUGCUUAGUGCGGCUAUGUUCAACGGGAUUAUCCGCCAUGCGGAUUGCACUCUCAUUAUCACAUAGGAGAGGGACUUUGCUCAAUUUGUAUCCAUAGUCCCUAAGGGUUUGCGUCAUCCAAAGUAAUUGCGCACAACAAUGACUUGUGACAAUGUACUCGGCUUUGGCGGUGGAAAGAGCUACAGAGUUUUGUUUCUUUGAAGCCCAUGACACCAGGGAUCUUCCUAAAAACUGACAAGUCCCUGAUGUGCUUUUCCUAUCAAUUUUACAUCCGGCAUAAUCGGCGUCGGAAUACCCAAUUAAAUCAAAGGUAGAUCCCUUGGGGUACCAAAGCCCAAACUUAGGAGUGUAAACUAAAUAUCGCAUGAUUCUUUUCACGGCCCUAAUGUGAACUUCCUUAGGAUUUGCCUGGAACCUUGCACACAUGCAUAGAGAGAGCAAAAUAUCCGGUCGAGAUGCACAUAAAUAGAGUAAAGAUCCUAUGAUCGACCGAUAUACCUUUUGAUCUACGGAUUUACCUCCCGUGUCGAGGUCGAGAUGCCCAUUGGUUCCCAUGGGUGUCUUGACGGGUUUGCCAUUCUUCAUCCCAAACUUCUUAAGUAUAUCUUGUAUGUAUUUUGUUUGGCUGAUGAAGGUGCCCUCUUGGAGUUACUUGAUUUGAAAUCCAAGGAAGUACUUCGACUCCCCCAUCAUAGACAUCUUGAAUUUCUGUAUCAUGAUCCUACUAAACUCUUCACAAGUUGACUUGUUAGUAGACCCAAAUAUAAUAUCGUCAACAUAAAUUUGACAUAUAAACAAGUAUUUUGCAACAGUUUUAGUAAAGAGAGUAGGAUCGGCUUUACCGACUUUGAAUCCACUAGUGAUAAGAAAAUCUCUCAGACAUUCAUACCAUGCUCUUGGGGCUUGCUUGAGCCCAUAAAGCGCCUUUGAGAGUUUGUAAACAUGGUUAGGGUACUCACUAUCUUCAAAGCCGGGAGGUUGCUCAACAUAGACCUCUUCCUUGAUGGGUCCAUUGAGGAAGGCACUUUUCACGUCCAUUUGAUAAAGCUUGAAGCCAUGGUAAGUAGCAUAGGCAAGUAAUAUACGAUUUGUCUCAAGCCUAGCUACAGGUGCAUAAGUUUCAUCAAAGUCCAAACCUUCGACUUGUGAAUAACCUUUGGCCUCAAGUCGGGCUUUGUUCCUUGUCACCACACCAUGCUCAUCUUGCUUGUUGCGGAAUACCCAUUUGGUACCUACAACAUUUUGAUUAGGACGUGGAACUAAAUGCCAUACCUCAUUCCUCGUGAAGUUGUUGAGCUCCUCUUGCAUUGCCACCACCCAAUCCGGAUCUCUUAGUGCAUCCUCUAUCCUGUAUGGCUCAAUAGAGGACACAAAAGAGUAAUGUUCACAAAAAUGUGCAACUCGAGAUCUAGUGGUUACCCCCUUGUGAAUGUCACCAAGAAUGGAGUUGACGGGGUGAUCUCGUUGAAUUGCUUGGUGGACUCUUGGGUGUGGCGGUCUUUGAUCUCUUAUUUCUUGAUCAUCUUCCUUGUCUUGGUUAUCAUCAUCUCCCCCUUGAUCCAUGUCCUCCUCUUGAGGUGGCUCAUCCUCUUGAUCUUCAUCUUCAUUAUCUUGAGCCUGAUCCUCGUCUUGAGUUGGUGGAGAUGCUUGCAUGGAAGAUGACAAUUGAUCUUGUGCUUGUGAAGGCUCUUCGAAUUCCUUGGGACACAUAUCUCCAAUGGACAUGUUCCUUAGUGCGACGCACGGAGCUUCUUCAUCAUCUAGUUCAUCAAGAUCAACUUGCUUCACUUGGGAGCCAUUAGUCUCAUCAAACACAAUGUCACAAGAUACUUCAACUAAUCCAGUGGAUUUGUUGAAGACUCUAUAUGCCCUUGUGUUUGAGUCAUACCCUAGUAAAAAGCCUUCUACAACCUUAGGAGCAAAUUUAGAACUUCUACCUCUUUUAAUAAGAAUAAAGCAUUUACUCCCAAAGACUCUAAAAUAUGAAACAUUGAGAUUUUUACCAGUGAGGAGUUCAUAUGAUGUUUUCUUGGGGAUUCAGUGAAGGUAGAGCUGGUUGAUGGAGUAGCAAGCGGUGUUGAUUGCUUCUGCCCAAAACCGUUCCGGAGUCUUGUAUUCAUCAAGCAUGGUUCUUGCCAUGUCCAAUAGAGUUCUAUUCUUCCUCUCCACUACACCAUUUUGUUGAGGUGUGUAGGGAGAAGAGAACUCAUGCUUGAUGCCGUCCUCCUCAAGAAAUCCUUCAAUUUGAGAGUUCUUGAACUCCGUCCCAUUAUCGCUUCUUAUCUUUUUGAUCCUUAAUCCAAACUCAUUUUGAGCACGUCUCAAGAAUCUCUUUAAGGUCUCUUGGGUUUGAUAUUUUUCCUGCAAAAAGAAUACCCAAGUGAAGCGAGAAUAAUCAUCCACAAUAACAAGACAUUACUUACUUCCGCCGAUGCUUAUAUAAGCAAUCAGACCGAAUAGAUCCAUGUAGAGUAGCUCAAGUGGCAUGUCCGCUGUCAUGAUGUUUUUGUGUGGAUGAUGGACUCCAACUUGCUUCCUUGCUUGACAUGCGCUACAAAUCAUGUCUUUCUCAAAAUGAACAUUUGUUAGUCCUAAAAUGUGCUCUCCCUUUAGAAGCUUAUGAAGAUUCUUCAUUCCAACAUGGGCAAGUCGGCGAUGCCAGAGCCAGCCCAUAUUAGUCUUAGCAAUUAAGCAAAUGUCUAGUUCAGCUUGGUUAUCAUUAAAAUCAACUAAGUAUAGCUGACCAUCUAAUACUCCCUUAAAUGCUACUGAAUCAUCACUUCUUCUAAAGACAGUAACACCUACAUCAGUAAAUAAAUAAUUGUAGCCCAUUUUGCAUAAUUGGGAAAUAGAAAGCAAAUUGUAAUGUAAAGAAUCUACAAGAAAAACAUUGGAAAUAGAAUGGUAAGAAAAUAUAGCUAUUUUUCCCAACCUUUGACCAAACCUUGAUUUCCAUUCCCGAAUGUAAUAGCUCUUUGGGGAUCUUCAUUUUUCUCAUAGGAGGAGAACAUCAUUUUCUCCCCUGUCAUGUGGUUUGUGCACCCGCUAUCGAUUAUCCAACUUGAUCCACUGGAUGCAUAAACCUGCAAAACAAUUUAGGCCUUGUUCUUACGUACCCAAACAGUCUUGAGUCAUUUGACGUUAGAAACAAGCACCUUGGGCACCCAAACACAAGUCUUGGGACUCUUGUGUUUGCCCCCAACAUAUUUGGCAACUAUCUUGCCUGAUUUGUUAGUUAAAACAUAUGAAGCAUCAAAAGUCUUAAAUGAAACAUUAUGUGCAUUUGAUGCAGUAGGAAUUUUUUUUCUAGGCAUUUUGACAUGAGUGGUAUGCCUAGAGCUAGACGCCUCAUUUUUGUACAUAAAUGCAUGGUGAGAAACAGAAUGAGGUUUCCUAGCAUGAAUCUUCAUAAUCUUAUGUUCAAGAUAGUUUGCAGGAUAUACAAUGUAACCCUCACUAUCCUAAACCAUGGGAGCCUUACCCUUAACAAAAUUAGACAAUCUUUUAGGGGUAUUAAGCUUGGUGUUGUUUUGAUUUCCUUGUUGGAAACCAAUACCAUCCUUAAUGUCAGGGCGUCUCCCAUUAUAGAGCAUGCUUCUAGCAAAUUUAAAAUUUUCAUUCUCUAACUCAUGCUCGGCAAUUUUAGUAGUUAAUUUAGCUAUAUGAUCAUUUUGUUGUUUAAUCAUGGCAAGGUGAUCAUCCAUAGCUUCAAUAUUAACAUCUCUACAUCUAGUGCAAAUAGUAACAUGAUCAACAGUAGAUGUAGAUGGUUUGCAGGUAUUUAAUUAUUCUAUCUUAGCACUUAAUCUAAUAUUCUCAUCUCUAAGACAGGAAAAAGGAUCAUUGCAAACAUUCAAUUUUUCAAUCUUAGAAACUAAACUAGCAUUUUCAGUUCUAAGACUUGAAAUUGAAUCAUGAUAAAUGCUAAUAUCCUUAGAUAAGUUUUCACAUUUUCUAUUUCCUGAGCAUAAGCAUUUUUUAAUUUAACAAUUUUAUUGUUCUAUUUAACGAGGAAGUCCUCUUGGCUUUCCAAGAGGUCAUCCUUCUCGUUAAUGGUUUCAAUUAGUUCAUUUAUUUUUUUCUUUUGUUCCAUGUUAAGGUUGGCAAAAAGAGCAAGUAAAUCAUCUUCAUUAUCGCUAGAGCUACCCUCAUCACUAGAUGUUGUAUAUUUGGGGUGGCUCACUAUACGACGGUUGAUCUUUAGCGACUCUUAUUAGGGACUGACGGUUGGUCGCUAAAAGUUAUGGACCGACGGUUGGUCGCUAAAUGCGUUUAUAGCGACGGUCUGUGGGUCGCUAAAAGUCUAGAAAUUUAACGACAUAUGGUUGGUCGCUAUAGAGGUAAGUGUGUGACUGAUGGUGGGUCGCUAUAGGGGUACGUGAUUUUUGUGUUUCUUAUUUACUCACCAAAGCCCAUCUAAAGGCCUACUAAACAAACGAAACCCUAUUUCACGCACCAAACCACAAGCGCAGCCGCCGUCACUUCUGCCCCAUCACGGCCCCAUCCUGCCGCUCGUCGACGACGCCACCCCGCCCCUCGGCCGCGGUCGCCGUCAGGCAGCCAGCCACCGCGACAUUGGCCAUGAUUUUUUGUGCCUGUUCUUGCUUAACUUUAUAACUGAUAAAGUUUCCAAUCACAAGAUUUACUUAAUUUAUACUAUUAUUAUCUUCUGUUGCAGUAUUUCCUUAUUAUUAAAGCAGCAAGGUUUGCCGCUUCCUCGUGUGUCCACGUCGGCAAAUUUUUUUGCCGUCCGAUCGUUCAUCAAUGGUGACAAUCUCACCCCUGCACAGUGUGUGUGGAUGGUUCUAGUUUCUUCUCUCACCAGCUCAUGCGUCUCCAAAGUAAAAAGGAUAAGAGAGACUCUGGGUUGCCGAGGUCCGCUUUCGUAACUACAGGAGGUAGGCAAAGGAGACGGCGACGACGAAGAACAUGUACUUCCUCCAUUACGUCCUCUAUUCCUAUCAUUGCCUUUCGUUUCUUUUCUUUUCUACAAUCGGCGUUACCUGCUGCAGUCGACGGCUCGGUCCCCUUGGUAUCUAAUGCCUUUGCGCGGCACCUGAGUUCUACACUUGCGACGAACUUGAGCAUUGCAUUCGUCGUUGUUCUUGUGUCCAUUCUUGUCUCUGACUCGGGCCGCCGCGAGUUCCUCCAUUCCCACUGCCAUGGAAUACGCCAGUGCGCUGAAUGACGCCUGCGUCUUCACGGAUCUCCUCCUCCUUUUGGCUAACAUGGCUCCUCAAAGAUGACCGCGUACGUUUGUCGAGCGGCGCUGGCAAGGGCCACGUGAACUGCGUUGGUCGACGCUUCCACACGCGCCGCUAAGCCUGCCCUGCCGCCCCCUAUGCGAUGCUGCUCCUCCCCUUUCUUCUCCGCCUAGGCUGGCGCUUGGAGGAGGAUGCCACCAAGGUUACCAACUACUUAAUGUACGCGUGCAAGAUGCUCGAUGAUACACCCCAACGGAAAGCAGUGUCGUGGACGAUGGUAGUCGUGGGGAACAUUGUAGACUCCACGCCGGUUGAGGAGGAAAAACUCCAUUGGCUCUUUUGUCACCUUAAGGGAUUUGCCUAACGUUUCCUUUUUUUUCUUUUAAAUAUGAUUUCCCCCAUACGUAUGCAGAUGCAGUUGCCAUAUUUUAAUGCUCAAUGCUGCCUACUUUAAUUUUAUGCUUAAUUUUUUUUAAUGCUCAAUGCUGCCUACUUUCCUUCACUGAUUUGGCUGCUCUUUUAUUUAGCUUAUAGCAACGGAAAAAAGUUAGCACAUUCCAAAAACUUCAAAGACUGCUGUGUACGACAUCCUAUAUUACCGGUAUGAGUACUUUUGAGAGCUUAAAUGUUGUUAGUCUUCUGUUUGCUAUUACGUGCUUUUGCUUUCCUGAAAAACUUCACACAGUUUCAGCUACGAAUUGACCAAUGACGAAAACAAGAUAUAUGAAGUGGCACAAUACUCAGUUUUACUUCUAAAAAUUGAAGAGAUUUAAAGAAGGAUUAUUCCAACAAUAAAUAUCUAUACUUUUGUUAGCAUACAUUUUCUUUUCUCAUGGCAUAUAUUUUCUUAAGGGCUAGUUUGAAAAUUUUAAAUCCUCUCCGGGAUUCCCGGAUAUUGAGAAGAAAAUGAGCUAAUUUCCCACUCAAUCCCUGAGAAUACCGGAGGAGAUUUUUAAGUUUCCAAAUUAGCCCUAAGUGUAGUAACUGAUUUUCACUUAAUUUUGCAGACUGCUUCUGUUUGAAUUGAACGGCAUCUUCAGAAUCUCGGCGACGCUAAUUUCUAACUCAUAUGGGAGAGGUCUAUUUCUAGAAUUUUUGUUUUUCUUUAAUAGAUUUGCCACCUACAUUGGCAUUUUUUCCCACUGCAAUCGAUUAUAAACUACAGUUUUGCAACCUUUCAGUGACAUGAACAUCUAACCAUAUUCAAGUUUGCCCUCAUCUCAAUAUCCAGAUAUCUCCACCUCAUCGACUCAAUAGUUAACCAUAUUCAAGUUUGCCCCUUUGAAACCAUCUGCUUGGAUUUUAUCGAUUCCAUUACCUAAAAAUAUGGUACAAUUUCAGUACGCCAGUACAUAUUAUGCAAAUGAAACACAAUUAAAAUCAGCAUUGUGAACUUUAUUGUUUGCCCAUUUUUUUGAUAAAUUACCCAUUUUAUGAUUCUACUGGGCCCUUUUCGCCUUUGCCCUACAAUUAUUCCUCCUCUUCGCUCUUUUGUUUCAUUGUUUGUUCUGCUUUGCACUUCUAUUCAUUGCAUUCUUCGUCGGUGAUUGUGCUCGUCCAGUUCGUCGGCCAUGUGUUCUAUCAUUUUCGUCAGAAAUCCUUUCUUAAGCCCUCCACUUUUCUCCUUUUUUGUUACCUUCGCACUUCGUUUUUAUUGUUCAUGUUCUCUGUCGUCGAGAUCUACUGUCUCAGGUUUAUUCUGGCUUUCAUAGUAAAUAAAUUGCUCUUCUUCCCCUCAUUUCUUGCUGGACGCAUAUUAUGCUUUUCCACUUUGCGACAACACUGUUUCCCUUAUUUGUGUUCGAGUAAAGUUCAGACUUUAUCCUCAGAGGUAAUUGUUACUUGCCUUAGCUUGCACUCUAUACACAUAAAGCGCUACUGUGCUGUUGCAUCAACUGUUUCGUUCCAUAGUUUUUGUUUUAUCCCACUUGGUUUAUGUCUUAUGUGCGCAUCAAACACUUCAAGCUAACAAUUACGCUUUCUAGUUUUGUAGACAUUAAAACAAAUGUUUCACUCCAAUGUAGGCCAAACAUAUUUAAGCGGUAUCGCAACAUGUGCAUGGUACUUUAAUGCAGACAUUUCUAAGGCACAUAUGUAGUAUAACAUGUACGGGAAAAUAGAUAAACAAAACACUAUCCAUUCUUGUAAUUACAUUUCCCCUUAAACCUGUUCUCCUUACAUGUCAUGUUGACAAUCAUCUACAUUAUCUAGCUGUCUGGUAGUAGCAUUUUUGUAAAACUAACAUACAAAUCUAGCAUUAACUUUUGCCCCAAAUUUCUAAAAUCUAUUAUGAACUACAAACAAGUUCCAAGUAUUCCUUUUCACAUGAAUAUGAGCACACUUUUUAAGCCAUCCAAUAACAUUUAAUCAACAUGUAUCGUCUACAUUAUCUAGCUGUCUGGUAGAAGCAUUUUUGUAAAAUUAACAUACCAAUCUAGCAUUAACUUUUUUCCCCAAAUUUCUGAAACAUAUUAUGAACUACAAAUAAGUUCCAAGUAUUCCUUUGCACAUGAAUAUGAGCACCCUUUUUUAAGCCAUCCAAUAACAUUUAAGCAACAUGUAUGCUUAAAUUCCACAAUACUGACCAAUUACACAAAUGUUUGCUACUAUUUCAAUUUUUGUUGUCACAUCAUUUAAAGGUUACAAAAUAUUGAACUUUAGUUGCUACGACCUACAAUACUUGAAGAAGAGAUCCAGGUUUCCCAGACACCUACUUUCGAGGACAAAACCAUCAAUGAAUUGGUUGAAAUUGAUCCAGAUAUAUUCCAUGUAAUCACUUUAACUUCCUAUUUUGUUGAACUCAUUCAUUACAUCAACUACAACUCCAUCUUAUUUAUAGUAAACUUUUUUCGCGAAAUGCAGCCACAAGGUUAUAGAUGUACUAAUCGCUAUAUCACGCCUCACACAGGAAGGUAGAUGGUGGUUCCCAUCUUGCACUAAAUGCAACAAGUCUUCAAUUCAGACCUCUACUAAAUAUCGCUGCAUACGUGUGAUUGGACAGAAACUAAAUUUAGGUAACCUUUCACACAAACAAUUACUUUGUCGUUAUUCGUCUGAGAUAAAACACUUCCUCUUACUUAUCAAAUCACUGCCACACAACAUUAACAGUUCAUAAUUCAAAGAUACAAACUCGGCUUCAUUGCUACUGAUGGAACAUUCGAAGCAGAAUUCUUUUGUUUUGACAAUAUAGCUAAACAAAUAGUAGAAAAACCUUGUGAAACCCUUGUUAGUAUCCUUCUCUAGAUUUAGUUGCCAUUGUCUCUCUCAGAUUCACCUUUGCAGAUACCAUUAAUAUGUUCGCGUUCUCCGUCACAAAUCGAGUCUUUUUUGUUCUCUCCGUGUUAACAAAUCAUGGAAGGAAAAGGUCAGCACCAUGUACCAUACAAAACUAUCAACAACAAGAAUUAGUGACACAAGAUGACAUAUUAGCCUCACAACCACAUAAAACUCUCCAACAACAUCGUUUGCAAAGCUAUCCACUUUUGGUGACCAUAAAAAUGUGGUGAGAAUUUUUUAGUGCAAACUACAACUAUUUCACAUGAACUUAUAUAUGUGCAUAGACUAAUGAAAUCUAUUUGACAGGCAUGUCACAGCCUUGCAUAUUCUAAUGCACUACAUGAUAUAGAGGUAAGUUUUUCUACCAUCACGUUUAGGCUCCAUAUGUACCCAAAAAUGACAUAAUUGUCUACCUCAAUUAUUUUGUGAUGGGAGAGAGUAUAUCUAUUCAUAAUUUGAAGACAGUGAUUUUUUUCCAUACAUAUCUAUGCAGGCAUAAAAUUACACACAAAAGAAAAAGAAUACUAUCUAUGCAAGAUGGACUCGAAAAUCCUUUCAACAUGUGGAUCAAUCUAAUUAUUUUAGAUUUUUUCUAAAUUUGCCUUUCAAUGGCUGAAGUCCCAUUUUGAUGCAAAUGAAAAAGCGAACAUCCUGUAGACUGCUGUUGCUGUGCAUCUCAACUGUUUUGGUCUUCCAAUCUUUUUGGAAGUAUUAUUAUUUUUACUUUCACUUACUCUUAUAAUUGCAUCAUGUUACACGAUGUUGACGUCAAUAUGGAUAUACACCCAAACAAUCUAAAUUCAAGGUCUUGUCAAAGCAAACUAAGGUUCUUUUUUUAAUACAAAGUCGUAUGGAUUCUGUUAGAUCUUGUAUUUUUUCCUACUAAUGUCAAUAUCAACCCGCAAGCGUCUCUUAAGUCACUCUUUUUAGGAUCAUUAUUUCACAUACUUUAAACCACAUAUGAAAUUUUGUUAGGCACACUAUUUGACAAUUCUUAUCCACUUACAGAAUGUUGACUAGCUUUCAGAACACCUUAACAAAAAAGAUCUUUUCUAAAUUUGCCUUUCAAUGGCCAAAAUCCCAUUUUUAUGCAAAUGAGAAAUGAACAGCCUACAAACUAUUUUUGUUGUGCAUCUCCACUGUUUUGGGCUUCCAAUCUUUUCUUGAGUAUUUUUUUACUUUCAAUUACCCCCUCUUAUAGUUUCAUCAUUAAAAAGUAUUGUUUUUUACUUUCAAUUACUCCCUCUUAUAAUUUCAUCGUGUUACACAAUGUUGAUGUCGAUAUAGAUAUACACCCAGACCAUCUAAAUGCGAGUUCUUAUCAAAGCAAACUUAGGUUCCUUUUUUUGAUACAAAGUCGUCUGGUUUCUCUUAAACCUAUCUAGUAUUUUGUUUCCUACUAAUGUCAAUACCGACCUGCAAGCCUCUCCUACCUCACUCUUUUCGGGAUCACUAUUUCACAUACUUUAAACCACAUAUGAAAUUAUGUUAUACAUUAGGCACACUAUUUGACGAUUCUUAUCCACUUACUUACAGGAUGUUGACUAGCUUUCAGACCACCUUGACAAAAAAAUCUGGCAUCCCCACCUAAGAAGUAUGUUUAAAAAAAAGAGGAGAGCAAAUGCAACCCGAGCAACAAGUUGCUUCCUUUUUUACACUAUGUACCAUAGUCCUUUCUAAGUUCUAACAUUGCAGAACACAUACAUGAUCAAAACUAGCAGGCUUCAAAAACAUCAAAAAGAUUUUACAGGCCCUGAAAGCGAUGUCCGGUAGAUCAACGUCAUUCUCAUCAAGGCGCGACAUAAUUUUACACCUCUUCUCUACACACAACUUCUAAUCAAUAUAAUUUGUGCAUUGUUCUUCACUCUCCUUUAUAACCUUUGCGCAAAAAUAGAAUAGCUCACAAACUCUUCAACGACAACUGAUCUGUCCUUUUUUCUGUACAGAUAAUUGCUUUGCGUAUCUACAACGACCAUCACUACUUUUGAAGCGCAAACGCUUUUAUGUACAUAUAACCAAACCGAUGAAACUUCUCUAGCUUAGUAUUUGUUUAUGCGAUCCUCAGCUCUGCUUUCUGUACCUAUGACGAUCAUCGUCACUUUUGCAAAGCAAAUGCUUUUGUGUACAUAUUACCAAGUUGAUGAAACCUUGCCAGUUUAGCGUCUGUUUAUUAUGAUCUUUAGCUCUUGGAACACACUGCUGAAAUACAAUGUAAUAUGUAUAGUCCUCUCAGUCUACUCUAGACUUGCUGUAACCGCUAUAAUUAUUAUCUUAGUACAACAAUUUAUGUAAGCACUGGGACCAGUUUAAAUUUGCUCUUAAACUGAUGACAGCAUGUGCUAUAUAACAAGUUCUGAGUGUACAUUAUCCCAAUGAAAUUGUGUCAUUAUCCUAACAAAAUUGAUCAUAAAAAUAGUUCAUAUUGCUGCAGGUACGCGCGCAUGGGCGCGCACGAUACACUAGUUGAUUAUACUUAAAAAUGUACAUCCCAAAUGUCGCUUAGUCCAAACCGUGUAUAUUUCACCCAAACCAACUCGAGUUUGUAUGUGUAUUUGCCUACUCGAGUUUGUAUGUGUAUUUGCCUUCGUAUUUUCGAGAAUGAAAUAAAAUUAAGUGGGAAAAUCCCAUUUUUCUUUAUCCUCCACCGCCGUAUUUUCUUUUUGCUCCCCGAAGCUGCAACCAUCGUUUCCUCCUCUCCUGAAGCACGACAGCCAGUCCAGCCACCAUUUGGGUGCUCAUCUCCCUCUGCUCGGCACCUAGCCCCAGCUCGCCCGAGCUCCCUGCGCCGACCUCAUCUUCCCCAUGGCGCGUCACCUUCUAGUCCUCUCCUUCCCACGGCACAGCAGCGCCCCUGCAGCUCCCCUUCUCCAGAUCCAUGGCACCCAACACCUUGAGCGCCCCUGCCGCUGCUCCUCCACCGGGAUCUCCUCCUCCACUAGGCGUCCAGGCUUGUCCCACCGUGGCUGCCCCUCCUCCAUCUCCUCCCUCCCCACCAGGUUACCCAGAUUCCAUGGCCGCCGCCGCCCCAGCCAUCUCCCUGGUGGCCGACCUCGCCCCUGCCCCAGCCACAGCUCCCCCUUCGGCCCUGCUGCUGCAAGCACUCAGCCUCUCCCAUGGCACACGGUACUCGUCCAGCCCCUUUCUACUGGUGGCUGAGCCAUCUCUCUGGUGCUCGAUGAAAUGACCAUGAGGAGUUUUGUGUUGUGUGCAGCCCCAUCUGCAACACCGUCGACCCCCGACGAGGUCCUUUCUCGCCUUGUCGUUUUAGUACUCGGCGUCGAUUAAGUAGAUGCUAACCGUGUGUAUAUUCGUGUGUUCUUGUGAGGAGAAAUCCCAUGAUUUGGGGGAAGACGAAGUCCAAGCACAACCCCCGCCAAUCGCUCGAUGAAAAAUCUAAACCAAAACCCUCAGCGUUUUCAAGGGUUCCGGAGGGAUUUUAUGUUGGUAAGGUAAUUUGUGUCCUAAUUAGUUCACUCAGUUAUUGAGUUGAAGAGAUUGUUAGUUGUAUGUGUCGAUGAUGCUAUUUUGAUUAGCAGGUGUUGUGCGGUGUGAUCUCCAAUUCCCUAUUGCUGUUUUCUUACUCCAUCAUGACCUUAGGGAAGGAUGUUUUCCUCUAAAUUACUCGUAAUAAUUAUGCUUGGUGUAUGUGUUGUUUUAGCUACUUGAUGAAAUGUUUUAGUUGUGUGCGAUAAUAUGGUUGCCGUUCGAGUGGAAAGUAGAUGUGUUGUAUGACCUGAGUUGGAGUUGAGGCAAGUAUGUGUGUCUCGUAUUACGAAACUAAUUAGAGAUAUGCAUGAUGUUUGUAGAUGGAUUAUGUGUAGAGUGUUUUAGUACAAGUAUUUUUUUUAGGUAUAGUUGAACCAGUUAUUGUAUAUGAAUUGUGCGAUAUCAAGGUAGUUCUAAUGUUCUUUUAACAUCUUGCUAAUAAGGUGUUAGAGUAUUCUAAAUGCCAAACAUAGGAUAAUUUUACAAGCCAAAUAGAAGUUAAAUUGAAGGUAUUGCUGUUUAGGGCUGUAGGUAUAGUUUUAGUUAUGCAGCUAGUCCAAUAAAGUAGAUCAUGUUUUCUGUAGAAGCGUUAUAUAUAAAACUUGUAGAUAAUCUUUUUAUCUUACUUGUGUAAAAAUUUCAUGACCAUAGGUGUAGUAGUUUAGGAGUUAUGAUUUUUCCAAGUCCAGUCUCAGAAUCUGUCCAAAUUCUGUACAGGUUUCGAAAAUUGGAUUGCUUGGCUAAGCUAAACUGAGAAUCAGCCCUUAGUAAUUAUAGAAGAAUUUUAGUACUUUUCUUAAGCUUUCCAACAAAUUUUGGAGCACCCUUUUUGGUGGUCUAGAUAUCAAGUUACAGCUGUUUGAACUAUAGAGUCUGAAUUUGUCCAAAUUUGGACAGCGAAGUCUGUUUGUAGUAACUGACUUUGAUAUGUAUUGAAUUAACCUGAGAUGUUUAUAAAUGAAUUGUAGACAAUUCUAUUAACUUUCUAAAAAGUCUAGGAUCACCUGAUUUGGAUUUCGGAAACUCCAGUUCUGGACUUUUGAAGUAAGUAGUCGAAUUCUGUCCAAAUCUGGACAUAAUUUAUGUUUAGCGCUGUUUGACCUUUGUAAAGGUCGAAUUUUGUUGUGAUGGUAAUACAAAAGUUAUAGAGGACUUUAUAAGCUUUCCAAAAAGUUCUAGUUUACUAUUAUUGGAUACAUAUUUUAUGAAUUGUGAGCUAAACAGAUAGUUGCUGACUUGCUGUUCUGCUGUCCAAACACAUGUCUACUGUCUGAAAAUAGCUCAUUUUGUAGUUACAUUUGCAUUAGGCUUUGAUGAUUGCUGUACAAGGAUGAUAUGGCCUCCCGCCCAAAGCUGUCUGGUAUUCAGAAGCAGGUUUUGGCGCUGUAUAGGGGAUUCCUUCGGACAGCACGCCUUAAGGCCCCUGAAGAACGCCGCAGGAUCGAGUCUGUUAUCUUGGCAGAGUUCCGUGACAACGCAAGGAGUGUUGACCUUAGGAACUUUGUACACAUAGAGUACUUGUUGAGGAGAGGGAAGAAGCAUCUUGAGCAGCUCAAGAAUCCUGAUAUUACUGGACUCGCUACCCUUGUAGUAAAGAAAUGAGGUACGUAGUUUUCAAAAACACUUAUUUGACUGUGCAUGGUCUUCGAAACAAGUUUUAGUUUUUAAGUUUGACCAAAUCUUGUCAUAAACAUCAAGUUUUUUUUUUAAACAACGGAAGUCGAUUAGUAUUUAAAAUCAGCAAGUAUCAUCCAUUAGUAUUUUAGGUCUUUAGAUUUAAAAAUUGUGGACUUGUCAAAACUCUAUGUUAUUUGAUAAGGCUCUACUUGUUAAAUUAAGUGGUGUGGUGCUUGAUUUAGUCGAUGUGCUAUGCCCGAUAAUCUAGAUUAGUAACUCUAAAAUCUAGUUAAAGUAUUUCUAUUCGUCACUUUAAGUUAUAGGUAUCCAUGGUUGUUGUGUCUAAGUAUCCGAUUUCUGAGCUCUGCCCCUGCUGUUUAGGAUAGCAUAUGGAGUUCUUUAUGUUCCACAAGCACAAUUGAUCUUAUGGAAUGGAAAUAGUAGAACAUUACCUGGUGAGAGCACACAAAUACCUUAUACAAAGCAGGUAUUGAGUCAAAUUGUUGUGUACCCAUUUGUGGUCUGGAUACACUGGUUUGGUGAAAAUGAAAUAUGCCCAAAGCAACAAAACCCAGUUCACAUGAACUGCUAUCCUGUAUUUACGAAUCUUGACUAGUCUAGUAAUAUAUGUAUGUGGAAAUAUGAAGGUUUCUUUAUUUCUCUUCUUAAACAGCAAGAGAAGAAGGAAGACUAGUCAGACAAAAUAGAAGACGAGAAGAACUGAUGUAGCCAUGUUCAUGCUUCCAUGUAAUAGUUCAUUAUUCCAUACAUAUUUCUGUCUAUCCAGAAUCUACUAUUGAAAUACAUAUCUAGCAUAGCUUGCUCAGCUCCUAUAUGUUGUUUCAACGUUGAUUUAAAAGAAGAGCUGGUAGUUGUGGGCUUUUGAACAAUAGCUGGAGUGAUAUGAAAUAUUAGUGAUGUAGUUGUGGGCUUUUAAACUGCUUCAAGCUGGAGUGAUGUCGCUGUGGUGCUUUUGUGACUGAUCAUCUCUAGAGCUUUUGUGAAUGAUCUAGCUAGCUAUCUGUAAAUGAUCUAGUUGUGAAUGAUAUUAUAAUUGUGAUGCUUUUGUGAAUAUAUAAUUGUGGUGCUUUUGUGUUUAUGUGAUGGAUCUAUGACUGUGGUAUACUGAUUAACUGUGUAUGUCUUUAUGAUUUGUGUAUAAAAAUCUGUGAUUUGUGGUGCUUAAUUAAAUGUAUAUUUUUAUUAAUAACAACUGUAAAAGGGCGACUUUUUGUUGGUUGCUAAAUGUAUAGUAUGACGACUUACAGUUGGUUGCUAAAUCUAUACUACAGCAACCCACGGUUGGUCGCUAAAUAUACAAUAUUAGCAAUAGACGUCGGUCGCUAAAAAGAUGUCGGUCGCUAAAGCCUUUAGCGACGGCACUUACAGCGACCAUCCUUAUGGGUCGCUAAAAGUUUUUAGCGACCAACCGUAGGUCGCUGAAGGCCGUUUUAGCAACCAACCGUAGGUCGCUGUAAGUGAACCGUCGUGUAGUGGCUCUAGAGUGUACCUUUUUCUUCUUGCCGUCCUUAGCCAUGAGACACUUGUGGCCGAUGUUGGGGAAGAGGAGGCCCUUGUUGACGGCAAUGUUGGCGGCGUCCUCGUUGGAGGAGGAGUCGGUGGAGCUCUCGUCGGAGUCCUAUUCCCGACAUAUGUGUGCAUCGCUGCCCUUCUUCUUGUAGUAUCUCUUCUUCUCCUUCUUCUUCCCCUUCUUGUCUUCGUCCCUGUCACUUUCACUAGAAAUUGGACAUUUAGCUAUGAAAUGAUCGGACUUACCACAACGGUAACACACCCUCUUGCAGCGGGACUUGUAGUCUUUCCCCCCUCCUUUGUUUGAGGAUUUGACGGAAGCUCUUGAUGAUGAGUACCAUCUCCUCAUUGUCGAGCUUGGAGGCGCCGAUUGAAAGUCUACUUGGUGUAGACUCCUCCUUCUUUUCUUCUGUCGCUUUGAAUGCGACGGGUUGCACCUCGGGUGUAGAGGUGGCACCUUGCUCCAAGUUGACAAUGUGUUUGGAGUCUUUGAUCAUUAGUUCAAAACUCACAAACUUGCCAAUAACCUCCUCGGGAGACAUUAGUUUAUAUCUAGGAUCCCCACGUAUUAAUUGAACUUGAGUAGGAUUGUGAAAUACGAGGGAUAUAAGAAUAACCUUGACCAUCUCAUGGUCAUCACAUUUGGUGCUCCCGAGGUUGCACACUUGGUUCACCAUGGUCUUGAGCCGAUUGUACAUCGCUUGCGGCUCUUCUCCUUUGUUGAGGACGAAUCGACCGAGUUCUCCUUCGAUCAUCUCGCGCUUGGUGAUCUUGGUCACCUCGCCCCCUUCAUGCGCGGUUUUGAGGAUGUCCCAAAUUUCUUUGGCACUCUUUAACCCUUGCACCUUAUUAUACUCCUCUCGACACAAGGAGGCGAUGAGUAUAGACGUGGCUUGGGAGUUAAAGUGCCUAAUUUGGGCGGCCUCGUCCGAGUCGUAGUACUUGUCCCCCACCUUUGGUACAUGCGCUCCAAACUCAACAAUAUCCCAAAUGCUUUCAUGGAGUGAGGUUAGAUGGUGCCUCACUUUAUUACUCCACAUACAAUAAUCUUCACCAUCAAAAUAUGAUGGUUUGCCUAGGGGUACAUAAAGUAAUGGAGCACGCUUUGAAAUACGAGGAUAACAUAGGGGCAUCUUUCUAUACUUCUUGCGCUCAUGGUGCUUAGAAGUAAUGGACAAUUCGGAGCUUGAUGUGGAGGGUGACGAAGAGUCGGUCUCGUAGUAGACCACCUUCUUCAUCAUCUUCUUCUUGUCACCUCUCCGAUGCGACUUGAUGGAGGAAGAGGAUUCCUCCUUGUGUUUGUUGCCGGACUCCCUUGAGAGAGUCCUCCCCAAGCUUGCGGCCUUUUUCGCUGGUCAUGAUCUCCCUCUUGGCGUGAUCUUCAGACAUCACUUCGAGUUGGUUAGACUCUUAAUGAAGCACUGGCUCCGAUACCAAUUGAAAAGUCGCCUAGAGGGGGGUUGAAUAGGCGAAACCUGAAAUUUAUAAACUUAAACACACACUAAGGUCGGGGGUUAGCGUUAGAAUUAAAUUCAAGUCCAAAAGAAUAUCUCUCUUGCUAGGAGUUGCUCAAGGAUUGCGGAUGACGUAUGGGAGCCAACUCAAAUUCACACUAGCAAGGAAAUGUUAGAGAGACGAAAACAAAUCAAACAAGAAUCAAGGCGAGUGAACACGAUGAUUUGUUUUACCGAGGUUCGGUUCCAAAGAACCUAGUCCCCAUUGAGGAGGUCACAAAGACCGGGUCUAUUUCAACCCUUUCCCUCUCUCAAACGGUCACUUAGACCGAGUGAGCCUUUUCCUUAAUCUCUCAGGUCACUUAAACCCCGCAAGGACCACCACACACUUUGGUGUCUCUUGCUUCGAUUACAAGUCACUUAAGAAAUAGACGGGAAAAGAAAAAUGCCAAACCAAGCAACAAGAGCAACAAAGAACACAUGAUAUCCUCUCACAAGCCCUAAUGCACUAGAAUUGAUUUUGGGGCUUUGAGUGGAUUGAUUGCUUUGAUUGUGUCUUGGAGUGUUGGGCUUUGCUCUUGCAAUGAAUGAGAGUUCAGAAAUGCUUGGAUGGUUAUGAAUGAGGUGGUUGGGGGGGGUAUUUAUAGCCCCCAACCACUUCCAUAGCUGUUGGUGAAGGCUGCUGGCGAUGGGCGCACCGGACAGUCCGGUGCGCCACCGGACAACCAUUGUGCAUUAUCCGGUGCGUGCCACGUCAGUGCAACCGUUAGGGUUCGAAGCUGGUCGACCGUUGGAGUCUUUGUUGUCUUGCUGCACCGGACAGUCCAGUGCCACAUCGGACAGUCUGGUGCUCUCUGACUUCUGCGCUCUGACUUCUGACAUCCACUGUUCAUCGCGACAGAGUCGACCGUUGGCGCAGAGAGUCAUUGCUCCGCUGGUACACCGGACAGUCCGGUGAAUUAUAGCGGAGCGCGCCCUGGAAUUCCUGAGAGUGGCUGGUUCAUCUGCUGUAUGGCCUGGUGCACCGGACACUGUCCGGUGCGCCAUUUUUCAGCACACUCAAGUCCUUUUGCUCCAAUAAAUUGUGUCCCUAACUUAAUUUCUUUCUUGGUUUGUGUUGAACCUUAUGCACCUGUAAUACAUGAAUUCUUGACAAACUAGUUAGUCCAUGUGUUUGUGUUGUUCGUCAACCACCAAAAUUAAUUAUAGGAAAUGGUUAACCCUAUUUCCCUUUCACAACUCAACUGUCAGAUGAGUACUCCAUUACAGCACUUACGUACACGAGUUCUAUGAGAGCAGACCUCCAAAAUGAAUAUCUGCUAAGUGUUUAUCUACUUAGAUGAAGGACGACAAUCACUUUCUUGGGAAAUAUUAGCGACACAACUCCUUACAUCCUCCGCUUCUUCCUAGUGUUUUUUGUUGUGAUUGAGUCGACACAGCAACAACACUGCACUAUUACAACCAGUACGACUAUAUCAACUAGCAAUGUCUUCCUUAUAUGUUACUAUUUAUUUUGCUAAUAUUCAUUAUGUUUAAAUCACAUGUGCACCUUUCUAUUGACAUCAAAAAAUUAGUGGGGAUCGAGUGAUUCUUUAAACCGAUUAUUACACAAGUUAACCACACUAAAAUUAACAUUGGUGAAUCGUGCCAUGAUUUUUUUCUAGUGCAAAAUAGCCAAACCAAGCAAAACAUAUGUGGCUAUCGUUACACAUGUGUAAAGGUAUUGCAUCACACCAUUGUCACCCAUGUAUUUGGACAAUACCGAGAGGAAAAACCACUUAUUUAUUGUAUUUUAUCAAGUUUAUCUUGCUUACGUAUAAAUUAUAACCCAACAAAGUAAUCACUAAAUGUCAAAACCAACUAGAUACCAUGUCAUCUCUACCUUAUCUUACUAAUAUUCUUUUUGCAAAAUCGAAAAUUAAUCUUGCACAAGCACAAGGACUGAGAUGUGUAUAAAUAUCUCUUAGAUUAGUAGAUAAUAUAUCGCACAUAUUAUUGAGACCAACUAGCAACAUAGAAAGCACAAUAUUGUACCAAUAAUGGCAGCCAAAAUAUUUUGCCUCAUUAUGCUCCUUGGUCUUUCUGCAAGUGCUGCUACGGCGAGCAUUUUCCCGCAAUGCUCACAAGCUCCUAUAGCUUCCCUUCUUCCCCCAUACCUCUCACCAGCGAUGUCUUCAGUAUGUGAAAAUCCAAUUCUUCUACCCUACAGGAUCCAACAGGCAAUCGCAGCAGGCAUCUUACCUUUAUCACCCUUGUUCCUCCAACAAUCAUCAGCCCUAUUACAGCAGUUACCUUUGGUGCAUUUAUUGGCACAAAACAUCAGGGCACAACAACUACAACAACUCGUGCUAGCAAACCUUGCUGCCUACUCUCAGCAACAGCAGUUACCUUUGGUGCAUUUGUUGGCACAAAACAUCAGGGCACAACAACUACAACAACUCGUGCUAGCAAACCUUGCUGCCUACUCUCAGCAACAACAGUUUCUGCCAUUCAACCAACUAGCUGCAUUGAACUCUGCUGCUUAUUUGCAGCAACAACAACUACUACCAUUCAGCCAGCUAGCUGCUGCCUACCCCCGGCAAUUUCUUCCAUUCAACCAACUGGCAGCAUUGAACUCUCAUGCUUAUGUACAACAACAACAACUACUACCAUUCAGCCAGCUAGCUGCUGUGAGCCCUGCUGCCUUCUUGACACAGCAACAUUUGUUGCCGUUCUACCUGCACACUGCGCCUAACGUUGGCACCCUCUUACAACUGCAACAAUUGCUGCCAUUCGACCAACUUGCUUUGACAAACCCAGCAGUGUUCUACCAACAACCCAUCAUUGGUGGUGCCCUCUUUUAGAUUGCUUAUGAGUUAUAGUUCAAUAAUAAAGUUUUUUUUGCUGAUAUUUGUGGCUUCCCAGAAAUAAGAAAGUACAUUUCUAGAUUCUUAUGUGCUUCUAGUCUCCAAAUGUGGUUGAUAGUUAUUUUGCUCUAAGAUCGGCAGUAAUGAGGUAUAAAUACUUGUUGUCGUGUGCUACUCGGUUAAU